GGGUAUAGUUCAGUGGCAGAGCACAUGCUUAGCAUGCAAGAGGUCCUGGAUUCAAUCCCCAGUAUCUCCA
RNAcentral lists this transfer RNA (70 nucleotides) under Camelus bactrianus (Bactrian camel). It matches the Rfam family "tRNA". Rfam says of the family: Transfer RNA (tRNA) molecules are approximately 80 nucleotides in length. Their secondary structure includes four short double-helical elements and three loops (D, anti-codon, and T loops). Further hydrogen bonds mediate the characteristic L-shaped molecular structure. tRNAs have two regions of fundamental functional importance: the anti-codon, which is responsible for specific mRNA codon recognition, and the 3' end, to which the tRNAs corresponding amino acid is attached (by aminoacyl-tRNA synthetases). tRNAs cope with the degeneracy of the genetic code in two manners: having more than one tRNA (with a specific anti-codon) for a particular amino acid; and 'wobble' base-pairing, i.e. permitting non-standard base-pairing at the 3rd anti-codon position. Lineage: Eukaryota; Metazoa; Chordata; Mammalia; Artiodactyla; Camelidae. RNAcentral also lists the same sequence under 2 other names. The record is from Rfam by way of RNAcentral.